UGGGGUGGUAAAUUUCAUCUAAAGCUAAAUAUGGGCCAGAGACCGAUAGCGCACAAGUAGAGUGAUCGAAAGAUGAAAAGCACUUUGAAAAGAGAGUUAAACAGUAUGUGAAAUUGUUGAAAGGGAAGCGCUGGCAACCAGACUUGCGCGGGACGGUUCCCCCGAUCAGACGAUCGGGCUACUCCGUCCCGGACAGGCCAGCAUCGGUUCGGGUGGUCGGUGAAAGACCCCGGGAAUGUAUCUACCUUCGGGUCGACUUAUAGCCCGGGGUGCAACGCGGCCUAUCCGGACCGAGGAACGCGCUCCGGCACGGAUGCUGGCGUAAUGGUUGUCAGCGGCCCGUCUUGAAACACGGACCAAGGAGUCUAACAUCUGUGCGAGUGUUUGGGUGUCAAACCCCGACGCGGAAUGAAAGUGAACGGUGGUAAGAACCCCGCCUGGGGCGCAUUAUCGACCGAUCCUGAUGUCUUCGGAUGGAUUUGAGUAAGAGCAUGGCUGUUGGGACCCGAAAGAUGGUGAACUAUGCCUGGAUAGGGUGAAGCCAGAGGAAACUCUGGUGGAGGCUCGCAGCGGUUCUGACGUGCAAAUCGAUCGUCAAAUCUGGGUAUAGGGGCGAAAGACCAAUCGAACCAUCCGUUGCCAGGUGGUUAAUUUCUUACCUAUCAGUUAGGUCAGUCUGAUACUCUUGGUAUUGGGCGACGUCGUCAGUCUUCGGGGAUGUCUUCGUGGCUAUCCGAAGCCGUCCUUAUCUCGGGACGGUUCACAGACUAGACAGUGACGGCCGGAUCCCCUUGACCAGGGGACGGUGAUUAUAUAGUCGAGUAAAGUUAUUGGAUCUUGCGGGUGUCAACCUGUCCAGGGUUGAUCCCCCGAGAACCGGUAACCUUAGACGCUGGUAGCUGGUUCCUGCCGAAGUUUCCCUCAGGAUAGCAGUAACGUGUUCAGUUUAUGAGGUAAAGCGAAUGAUUAGAGGCCUUGGGGUUGAAACAAC
RNAcentral lists this ribosomal RNA (991 nucleotides) under Heteroplacidium compactum. RNAcentral's name for it is "LSU rRNA". It matches the Rfam family "Eukaryotic large subunit ribosomal RNA", at positions 292 to 1045 of the family's 3401-position model. The record is from RNAcentral. Lineage: Eukaryota; Fungi; Ascomycota; Eurotiomycetes; Verrucariales; Verrucariaceae.